UAAAAUAUCAUUUUAUUAAUAUAAUUCUUAUUACAUUUACAAUGGGGUAAAACUAAAUCAGCGAAAAAAUAAAAACCACCAGAAAACCUAGCUUCCGGUGGUAAAACUAAAAGAAAUCCACAAGAAAAUCAGCCUUCCUGGGUAAAACUAAAUCUGCAGAUUUAGUUUUACCGAAUCUGGUUCUUUUUCCCAAGAAAGCUUCUCACUACUCAUCAUUUUAUCCCCAGAAUUGACCUUUCUCUUUUUACACCAAAAUAAAGAAGGAAAAAAAAAAGGAAGGAAAAUAAGGAGAUUCAUAGGGGGGAGAGUGAGGAGGAGAAUGAGAAUGUGAGAUGGUGUGAGGACGUCGAUUUUUCCAAAACUUGUUUUCCUCAAGGAAAUGAAGUAGAAUUAAGGUUGUAUACUGAUUAUAUGAUUUCUAAAAAUGGUAGUAAUUGGUUUCAUUGAGUUUUAACUUAUUUUGCUUUGAAAAUGGACUUCUUUCGAAAAAGUGAUAAAGAGAGACGAACUUUGUGAUUUUCAUGAUUUUGUCGUAUUUAGCCGGUGAAACGUACAUGCAUACUCAAGUGCACUUAUAUGCGAUCUAAGUGUAUGCAUAGUUGAGGCAUUGGAAUUUGUUUAAUUGGUUUUGUUUCAAUUGCUUCAAUUAUUUUAAAGUUGUAAAAUGAUAGACAAACUUUGUCAAAAAUAAUCUUUAAGAUCAAAUAUUUGACAAAUCUUUUGUGGAUAGUUUGAUAUGAUUAUAUGAAAAUGUGUGAAUGAUUGCUAGGUGUUGAAUAUGAUGUUUAUCAUAAUGUGUUGUAUUUUCUCCUUUACUUGAAUUGUGAGAAAUUGUAUGAAGUUGUUGUGACGUUGGUUGAUAGUUGUGAUAAUGAAUAUGUUGAUAAUGAUGUGGUGAUGACUUCUUAUUGAAUUGUGACUUGUUGAUUGUGUGGAUGUAAAUACUUGAUAAUGCACUUGUUGUUGAAGUUGUUCAAUAUAAAUGAAGGUUAUCUUUUAUAUUGUUGUUGAUUGUAUAUGAGGUGAUUUGCAUUGUCGAGUCUUUGCUUGUAUGUCCAUGCAUCAUAGUCAUGUUGAGUUGUUGAUGUUGUAAAGGGGUGUGCUCUUUUACUUCGGCGAAAAUGUAAGACGGGUGUGAAAUCUUAAAUAGGAUGUUCUGUUGGCAUCUUAAGGUGACGACCUUUGUUGGUGACGGUACUGCAUGCAUUUAGGUUUCAUGUAUAGGCGCAUAAUACAUUCUUACAUGUGUCCUAUGUGUACAUGUGCU
Molecule: long non-coding RNA, 1267 nt
Filed under: Medicago truncatula (barrel medic)
Lineage: Eukaryota; Viridiplantae; Streptophyta; Magnoliopsida; Fabales; Fabaceae
Description: long non-coding RNA (MTRU_LNC001760)
Source: RNAcentral